AGUCGAGCGGAUGAGUGGAGCUUGCUCCAUGAUUCAGCGGCGGACGGGUGAGUAAUGCCUAGGAAUCUGCCUGGUAGUGGGGGAUAACGUUUCGAAAGGAACGCUAAUACCGCAUACGUCCUACGGGAGAACGUGGGGGAUCUUCGGACCUCAUGCUAUCAGAUGAGCCUAGGUCGGAUUAGCUAGUUGGUGGGGUAAUGGCCCACCAAGGCGACGAUCCGUAACUGGUCUGAGAGGAUGAUCAGUCACACUGGAACUGAGACACGGUCCAGACUCCUACGGGAGGCAGCAGUGGGGAAUAUUGGACAAUGGGCGAAAGCCUGAUCCAGCCAUGCCGCGUGUGUGAAGAAGGUCUUCGGAUUGUAAAGCACUCUAAGUUGGGAGGAAGGGCAGUAAGUUAAUACCUUGCUGUUUUGACGUUACCAACAGAAUAAGCACCGGCUAACUUCGUGCCAGCAGCCGCGGUAAUACGAAGGGUGCAAGCGUUAAUCGGAAUUACUGGGCGUAAAGCGCGCGUAGGUGGUUCAGCAAGUUGGAUGUGAAAGCCCCGGGCUCAACCUGGGAAUUGCAUCCAAAACUACUGAGCUAGAGUACGGUAGAGGGUGGUGGAAUUUCCUGUGUAGCGGUGAAAUGCGUAGAUAUCGGGAGGAACAUCUGUGGCGAAGGCGGCUACCUGGACCAGCACUGACACUGAGGCACGAAAGCGUGGGGAGCAAACAGGAUUAGAUACCCUGGUAGUCCACGCCCUAAACGAUGCGAACUGGAUGUUGGGUGCACUUAGGCACUCAGUAUCGAAGCUAGCGCGUUAAGUUCGCCGCCUGGGGAGUACGGUCGCGAGACUGAAACUCAA
RNAcentral lists this ribosomal RNA (850 nucleotides) under uncultured bacterium. RNAcentral's name for it is "bacterial SSU rRNA". It matches the Rfam family "Bacterial small subunit ribosomal RNA", at positions 60 to 904 of the family's 1533-position model. The record is from RNAcentral.